GGCUCCAUAGCGUAGUGAUUAACACAUCUGCUUUACAUGUAGAAGGUCCUGGGUUCAUGCCCCAGGUAGAGCCA
This 74-nucleotide transfer RNA is filed under the name Pteropus alecto (black flying fox). It matches the Rfam family "tRNA". From Rfam's summary of the family: Transfer RNA (tRNA) molecules are approximately 80 nucleotides in length. Their secondary structure includes four short double-helical elements and three loops (D, anti-codon, and T loops). Further hydrogen bonds mediate the characteristic L-shaped molecular structure. tRNAs have two regions of fundamental functional importance: the anti-codon, which is responsible for specific mRNA codon recognition, and the 3' end, to which the tRNAs corresponding amino acid is attached (by aminoacyl-tRNA synthetases). tRNAs cope with the degeneracy of the genetic code in two manners: having more than one tRNA (with a specific anti-codon) for a particular amino acid; and 'wobble' base-pairing, i.e. permitting non-standard base-pairing at the 3rd anti-codon position. Lineage: Eukaryota; Metazoa; Chordata; Mammalia; Chiroptera; Pteropodidae. The record is from Rfam by way of RNAcentral.